UCCCCGUUACCGAGGCAGUCUAGCUAGAGAAAUUCAACUAACUACAAGGGUUGCGCUCGUUGAUGGACUUAACCAAACAUCUCACGACACGAGCUGACGACGGCCAUGCAACACCUGUCACUGCGGCCCGAAGGCACAGUCUCCUUUCGGAGACCUUGGCAGGAUGUCAAACCCUGGUAAGGUUCUUCGCUUAGCCUCGAAUUAAACAACACGCUCCACCGCUUGUGCGGGUCCCCGUCAAUUCCUUUAUGUUUUAGUCUUGCGACCGUACUCCACAGGCGGCUUGCUUAACGCGUUAGCUUCGCUACUACCAGGGUCGAUACUGAUAACAGCUAGCAAGCAUAGUUUACGGCGUGGACUAC
This 362-nucleotide unclassified non-coding RNA is filed under the name uncultured bacterium. Its description in RNAcentral is "contains 16S-23S intergenic spacer region". The record is from RNAcentral.